RNAcentral lists this ribosomal RNA (488 nucleotides) under uncultured bacterium. Its description in RNAcentral is "partial 16S ribosomal RNA". It matches the Rfam family "Bacterial small subunit ribosomal RNA", at positions 30 to 507 of the family's 1533-position model. The record is from RNAcentral.
AUUGAACGCUGGCGGCAGGCCUAACACAUGCAAGUCGAACGGUAGCACAGAGAGCUUGCUCUCGGGUGACGAGUGGCGGACGGGUGAGUAAUGUCUGGGAAACUGCCCGAUGGAGGGGGAUAACUACUGGAAACGGUAGCUAAUACCGCAUAACGUCUUCGGACCACAGUAGGGGACCUUCGGGCCUCACACCAUCGGAUGUGCCCAGAUGGGAUUAGCUAGUAGGUGGGGUAAUGGCUCACCUAGGCGACGAUCCCUAGCUGGUCUGAGAGGAUGACCAGCCACACUGGAACUGAGACACGGUCCAGACUCCUACGGGAGGCAGCAGUGGGGAAUAUUGCACAAUGGGCGCAAGCCUGAUGCAGCCAUGCCGCGUGUAUGAAGAAGGCCUUCGGGUUGUAAAGUACUUUCAGCGGGGAGGAAGGCGAUGAGGUUAAUAACCGCAUCGAUUGACGUUACCCGAAGAAGAAGCACCGGCUAACUCCGUG